GGCGGAGGUUGGAGGGAGCAGGGUUCCCAGUGUCAGACCAGUGUUUGUCUCCGCACUGGAAGAAGGGAGGGUGAGAUGGGUAGAACCUCAAGAAACAAACACCAGAGUUAUGAACUGACCAGUCAACCACACACCUCAUUUUGAACUGGAAGUACGCAAUCAGGCUGCAGAGACAAAAUACAGUACAGCACAGUACUUUGUUAAAUGUAACUACUAAAAACAGGGAAAGUUAAACAAAAUUGACAAGGCAAGAAAACUGAAAGAGAAAUUAUGAUAUGCUUAAGAUCACACUGCAAGUCUAUGAAGAAGCUGCAAACUGAACCUAGGUCUCCUGAAUGCCUUGUCCUGUGCCUUCACCAAAGCAGCUUUAAAUGAAUGGAUAUGAAUGAGUCUUGGACUUUGAGGUGGGAGGAUUCAACCGAGCCACAGUAACCAUGGGGGAUAUACUUUGCUCCAGUUUUUGUGCCAAUUUUGUGCAUUUUAGAAUUGUAAGCAAAUAUUAUUUAGUAAGGAUCUAACCUUCCCUUGAGAGUAAAAUUGUAAGACAGCAGGGGGCGCAUUUGCCAGUACUAUCAGGGCAUUUACAUGAAGCACCACCAGCAGGAACACUGAUCAGCAGGGAUCCUAAUUUUUUUCCAUGAUUUAAAAAAACCAAAAUUAUCUGAUUUAAAAAACAAACCAUAAUCUGCAUUUUUCUGCAAUUAAAAUGAAAUGUUGAACUUUAGUUUCCUUAGCCAAAUAUAUAUAGGUAUCAAUUUAACAUGAUAUUUUAUUGACUAUAUUUACAAUUUUUAAGCAAGUUCAAAGCCUACCAGU
Long non-coding RNA from Mauremys mutica (yellowpond turtle), 816 nucleotides. RefSeq lists it as uncharacterized. Lineage: Eukaryota; Metazoa; Chordata; Testudines; Geoemydidae. The record is from RefSeq and is a predicted model, not a curated record. The transcript has 4 exons.